Molecule: ribosomal RNA, 569 nt
Filed under: Malassezia furfur
Lineage: Eukaryota; Fungi; Basidiomycota; Malasseziomycetes; Malasseziales; Malasseziaceae
Description: eukaryotic LSU rRNA
Rfam family: Eukaryotic large subunit ribosomal RNA
Source: RNAcentral
GGGAAGAGCUCAAAUUUGAAAGCUGGUACCUUCGGUAUCCGCGUUGUAACCUCGAGACACGUUUUCCGUGCGGCGCUAUGGACAAGUUCCUUGGAACAGGACAUCGUAGAGGGUGAAAAUCCCGUACUUGCCAUGGAUGUACCGUGCUUUGCGAUACGUGCUCUAAGAGUCGAGUUGUUUGGGAUUGCAGCUCAAAAUGGGUGGUAGACUCCAUCUAAAGCUAAAUAUCGGGGAGAGACCGAUAGCGAACAAGUACCGUGAGGGAAAGAUGAAAAGCACUUUGGAAAGAGAGUUAAAAGUACGUGAAAUUGUCGAAAGGGAAGCGCUUGAAGUCAGCCAUGCCGCUCAGGACUCAGCCUGGCUUUUGCUUGGUGUAUUUCCUGGGUAGCAAGUCAGCAUUGGUUUGGAUCGUCGGAGAAGCAUAGUCGGAAUGUGGCGCCCUCGGGCGUGUUAUAGCCUUCUAUUGGAUACGACGAUCUAGACCAAGGAACGCAGCGCGCCUUAUGGCGGGUCUUCGGACACCUUCGCGCUUAGGAUGCUGGCGUAAUGGCUUUAAGUGGCCCGUCUUG